GAGGGUACAGCUCAGUGGUAGAGCGUGUGCUUAGCAUGCACAAUGUCCAGGGUUCAAUCUCCAGUACCGCCA
Molecule: transfer RNA, 72 nt
Filed under: Camelus bactrianus (Bactrian camel)
Lineage: Eukaryota; Metazoa; Chordata; Mammalia; Artiodactyla; Camelidae
Also listed under: 2 other names
Rfam family: tRNA
About the family: Transfer RNA (tRNA) molecules are approximately 80 nucleotides in length. Their secondary structure includes four short double-helical elements and three loops (D, anti-codon, and T loops). Further hydrogen bonds mediate the characteristic L-shaped molecular structure. tRNAs have two regions of fundamental functional importance: the anti-codon, which is responsible for specific mRNA codon recognition, and the 3' end, to which the tRNAs corresponding amino acid is attached (by aminoacyl-tRNA synthetases). tRNAs cope with the degeneracy of the genetic code in two manners: having more than one tRNA (with a specific anti-codon) for a particular amino acid; and 'wobble' base-pairing, i.e. permitting non-standard base-pairing at the 3rd anti-codon position.
Source: Rfam by way of RNAcentral